UUUUUUUUUUUUUUUUUUUUUAUUGUCACCAUCUAUGCCUACGCCUACACCUACUCUUAACUUAUACUUUUGAAAUGAUCAAGCAAGAUUACGGCAAAUCGACGGAAACUAAACCACCAUUGGACCAUACGGGCGCAAGGAGGCACCCAUAUACUGCUGCAUCUGGCUGAUUGCUCCUAAGUAUAACCUAGAGGUGUCAAAAUGGAUGACUUGGGCGGGUUUGGGUUGGGUAAAAUGGAUAAUGGGUAUAAGUGAGUCAACUCAUUUAUACCCAUUUAAUUAAAUGGGUAUAAAUGGAUAAGUCAAAAAAUGAAUUGGGUAACCCAAUUACCCAUUUAUAACUCAUUUAUUUUAACUUUUUGCAAACUCAUUUAAAUUCAUUUUUGCAAACUAAGUUAUCAAUUUAUACCACUCUUUGUACCCAUCAUUAGUUUUAAAUAUUUACUUAUAAUGUUCAAUAAACUUAAUUACCAAUUUUUUUCAUUUAUACUCUAUGUCACAAAAUUACCUAUUAUUUAAUAAUUGAAUAAUACGAAUAUAAAAAUUUGAAUUAAGUACUAUAAAAAUUAAUAUAAAAACUUAAUCCAAAAGUUUUGAACCCCUAACAUUUUUUUCAUAUAUAAAUUUAAAAUUUCAUUUUAUAAAGAUAAGAAAAUAGGCUAAAAUUUAUCAUAAAUUGGUAAUGCUAAAAAAUGAGCAAGUUAACAAACUAAGAAAAAAUAAAAUAAUAAGAUAAAACCAACAAAUAAUAAUAAUAAUAAUAAUGUUGACAUCAUGACAAAAUGAAAAAUUUGAAAAAAAAAGAUAGGGGAAAAGAAGAGACCUGGGGGAAAGAGAAUUUUAAAUGGAUUAAUUGGAUUUGAUGGGUUACCCAAUAAUACCCAUUUAAUAAAUGGAUAUUGUUGGGUAACCCAUUUAUACCCAUAUAUAAAAAUUUAAGAUACCCAUACCCAUCUAUUCAUGGACGGGUAUGAGUAAAUCUAGUUAAGUGAGUUGAUUUGCCACCUCUAGUAUAACCCGAAACUGUAUAAAAUGACCGAGAGUCGCUCAACUAAGAGAAGAUUUUGUGCUAAAAAUGAAAAAACAACACAAGUAAUCCCCCAAAAGGCACCUUUUACAACGACCUUAUGGUAAUGAACAGCUACGUCUAAACAAGGUGAAAAAUAAUGGGACUUGGAUCCUCUGAAUACCUAAAAAUGUGAUUGCAGAGAAUCCAAAUGGGAAUAUUGCUAUGUACAUUUGCAUCUUAAGUGUACUAUAAAUGGGAGGAACACUGUAAAUGAUUCAUAUCUACUUUACAGGUCAACAGAAUAUGUCGUUUGAGGAUUCAUCCCAAGUAGCGCUACAAAAUUGAGCCCAGUAACCAAAUAUGCAACAAGAGCCAAUAAGCAAUAAGACCUAGCCUCGCCCUCGGAUGACUCAUUAAAGCUCUACCACCAGACACCCUGGACAAAGUGGAAAUUCAGGUGUUAGAUAAACCCAAAUAAGAGGUAGAUUAGCACAUCAACCAAAAUAUACAACUCAAAUACUAGUUACAAAAGUAAAAAUUUGAUAAAUUGACCGGAUGAUAGGCUGAAAGGAUUGAGAAAUGCAAAAUGACCACGCGCAAGCAUAGAGUAAGAGUGCCGUGGAUUGAAGCCCCUCAAGUAGGUUUUGCAAGUCAGACAAGUAGAAUAAACUAUUGAAGAAGCAAUAAUUAACUGCCAAGCAAGUCCAAGUAAUAUACCAAAUUCCAUCAAUUCUAUCUGCAAUCAUCUUCCCUUGUCUAGGAAUGAGACCUGAUGUAUUAAGCGACUUGAACACAUGGCCUGCGUUUUGAGAGUCCACCAAAAGUUAACAGACACUCAAUAUCUUGAGGCAUUCAUGGUAACCAAUCAGAAGUUUACAGUGUAAAAAAGAAAAGAAACCUUUAUCUUCAUCAGCUUGUUCAUUGUUUGCCAAUCUUUCAGAUUCAGGAUCUAUACUGAUUGCAAGGUGAUCGCUUGAGCCCUUUCGUAAUGUUCGCACAUGAGCAGCUGAUGGGACAGAUGAUACAGCCACAUUUUUACCUUGCCCCUGCAGUAAUGGAUCAUAAUGAAUUACAACUCAACUCAUAAAUCUCAGAAUCUGAGGAACAAACAACUUAUUCCUGCAAGAGGACCAAAAUAAAAAAUGUUGAACAUUCCUUGUAGUACGCCAUUAUUCUAAAGCACAGAACUGACGAUCAUGUGACUAACAUCAAUUUAAGCAAGCACAUUCAGCUGAACAGCUAUAAGAACAAGAAGGAAAGUGAAACACAAAAAGCGAAGAGGGGCAAAUGGAGGAACACCAUAAACUCCAGGCAUGUAAUGCUAACCAAGUCCACGUAUAGAAAAGAACUCAUGACUCUACAAGAGGCAUGCCCCACAGGGGUAGAAGAGAUCGUUAGCACUACAAUCAAUCACCGAAGUUCUCCAGGACAACCAAAGAGAAGAAAGAAAGAGUCUCAAGAUAAUAGAAUCCCCAACAUGCAUCCCUCCAAAGUCAUUAAUAUUAGAAGGUGGGAGGGGAAUAUUGAAGGAAGAUGUAUGAAAUAAAAUGUGAAAUUUGGGCAACAAAGAGUUACCAGCUCCUGGAUUUCUGAUAUUUCUGGCUGAGAAUUAGAGGAAGACAGUUCUGAAAUGCCUUUCUCCUUGAUAGUCUCUGGGAAAGCCACCCCACCAUGACUAGAACCUUCCAGUAACUUCACCUUGCUGGACAAUUCAUCCACAAACUUUUCCGUACUAAGCAAUUUGGUACUGAGUUCAUCCGUUUUUGACUUUAGAUUUACUGACUCCGCCUUUGUAGCCAUGACCAUCAUAUCUAGUGCUGACAGUAAUCCGGUCACAUGAGCUAUUUUCUCACCGCCAACCAACUUAUCACCUCCCAAUUUCUGAAUAAUACUCUCCAAACCCAGGGCAAGCUCAUUCCUCAUCCUUUCAGAUUCUUGCUUCUCUCUAACAUAACCUUUAACUUCUUCAUUUAGAUGCUCAACAGCAGUAACUUGCUUUUCAAGCAUUGACUGCAGAUUUUCUUUUUCUUGUGCCUCUGAGUUUAUCUUGUCCUUUAAUCCAUUAAAAUUAUCAAUAAUGUAAAAGAGCUUUUGUACAUCAGUAGAAUAAGUGGUCUCCAAGUCUUCAACUUCAGGCUCAGGGAAUGAGAUGCCAAUAGCACUUAUCUUGUUAAAGAGGGAUUUGAUUUGAGAUGCUGACAAGGAAAACUCUUGAGCCUCUGAAACAAAAAAAAUGUGUAAAAUUUGAAUUAUAAAAGAAAAUGGAUAAGAAUUAAAAUUAAAAAAAGUUGGCACGUUGAAUAAAUCUAACAAAAUUUAGCAAAUGAAUUUACCAUGAACAUUUUUUGGUGAAGUUGAAUGCGCUACUAAAAGUUCCGUUUCUCUCUCCUUCAACAUAGGCUGUCUAGCCUCAUGAUCCUCUAUCUUAAGCUUCAUUUCUCUACACAAGUUUUCUGCUACUUCUAAAUCAGUCUCUAGCUUAGAGAUUUUCUUUUGGUUUAGAUCCCUUUCUUCUAAAAGGUUCCCACAUGUUGUCUUGGUUUCAAUCAAUUGAUUCUGCAAGUCUUCAACUGUAGAGACCAUCAUAUUUUUCAUACCAUGAAAAUGCUUAAUAAAAUUUCGACAAUGGCUAGUAGCAAGCAACAGCUUCUCAGCUAUAUGUACAUACUUGUUGCCUUCACUCUUUAGGUCAUGGUCAAUUAGUGCAUCUUGACCAAAUGCUUCAAGUUCUGUGGAAGAAUUUUCCAGUAUAGAGACAGAACUUAGUUCCGAUAAGUUAUUUUCAACUUCUAGCUCCAACUCUUCAGUAGCCUUAGUACAGGCAGACAGAAGAAUUUCCAUAUCACUUUCUAACAUGGCCACUGUGUUCUCUUGUGCUUGCCUAUCCAUUUCAACAUCAUUCGCUCUGUGCUUCAAAGAUCUAACGAGCUCGCGUGCAACAAUUACACCAUCCUUGGCUACCUGCAAUCUUUUCAAAAGAGCCAAAAUGAAGUCAUCCAAAAUCCCAGAGCAGCUACCGAUUUUCUCAGCAAGAUUCUUAUCUCUUAAACGCAAUCCUUCAAGAGUUUUCUCAAAAUUCAAAGUAACAUUCUCAUCAUCUACUGCAUUUAGCUGUACAUUAACCAUUUCCAUCUCCAAAGCAUUGUCAAGGCCAUCUGGUGAAAGAGUCGAGACAGAAUAAUCAUCCUAUAGAAAAGAACAAAGAAUCCAUACAUCUUGUUAAACAACAAUCAGAUGUGAAAAGAACCACGCUAAGGGCUUAUUCAGUAUAAACAAACAAGUAAUUCAGAAACCAAAAGAUCUGCCUAACAAUUAAAAGCAAGCAUGAGAGGUAAGGAGCACAAACAGCUCAGAAACUUGACUAGAAGGCCCAACUAUGUAAUUUCAUUGAAAGCCCCAAAACAUCCAGAUACAUGAAAAGUUGAAAAAUUAGUUCCUUUAUAUCUAUUCAAUGAUCAAGAAAUUUGCAAAACAGAAGAAAAAUUUCAGACAAAAGACAAGAUCUGAAGUACAUGCUCUGUUGGUUUAGUAAGGCUCAAAUAUUGAGUCGGAUAAUGCUGGCAUGUAGACACGGCAAUAAGUAAUCUAAAUUCAACCCAAAAGGAAAAGAUUACCUCCAUGACAGGGAAACUUUGUAGCAUGUCAGGACCAAUCAUAUCGAAGAAGCAAUCCCUCAUUUCUUUAAGGAUAUUAUUCAUAUCCCCUAGGCUCUCAAUUUUGUCCUUAAAACUCUUUUUCAGUAAAGAUAACAAACUAUCAUCCCUUAGAAUCAUCUGAAUACUGGUAAGAUAACCAGAGAUUUCCCUAGAACUAUUUGCAAUGCCGCCAUGGAAUCCCUCCAACUCCUGCAAACAAGCCUGUAACUUGGAGUUAAGGGCUGAAAUCUCAUGUUCUGCAUUUUUGUUCUCUUUAACGAGAUCGGAUAUUUUAUUUUCUGCACCCAAUCUUGCAUCAUCCAGUGACUUUAUAGUCAUUGCAGCAUCGGCAAGUUUGUUAGCCUGUGAAUCAGCUUCAGCUUUCAGCUUCUUCAUAUCCUCCUCCAAAUCACUUCUUCCAAUUUGCGUCUUAUUGUUUUCCUCGGCAAGCACUGAUAAAUUUUUCUGUGCUUCAGAUAAUGCAUCUUCUAGGGAUUGUAUGGUAACUUCAGCAUCAGUAAGCCGGCUAGCCUGGAUGGAAUUCUCCUCCUUCAAUUUCUGAAGCUCCAUUUCUAUGGCUGCUCUACUAACCAGAGAGUCUUCUUUUUCCUUUGCAAGGUUAGAGAUAUUAUCCUCGGCCACUGUCAAAGCAUCUUCAAAUGAUCUUAUAGUAGCAGAAACCUCGGCAAAUUUACUCUUUUGGGAAGCAACUUCCAUCAGAGAUUUCUGCAAUUCCUCCUCACUUUGAAUUUUAGCAACUUCUAGUUCUCUCUUUUCUUCAAGGACCUGCGAGAUACUGUUUUGUGCAUCUAACAAAGCGUCCUCGAGUGACUUCAUGGAUGUCUCAGCUUCCACCAACUUGCUUAUUAAAGUGAUGGUUUCUUCUUUCAGUUUCUCCAACUCUUCUUGUGAAUUUUGGCAUUCGUUCAAGUAUCCUGAAAGCCAUUGUACCUUCUCAACUGGCUCUUUAAAAACUAAAUUAGAAGGGUGGUCAAUGCUAUCAAUAGACUCUAUGACUUUCUGCAACAUGUUGUUACUCUCCACCAAGAACUGCUCAAGUUGAUUCCUUUGUUCCUUAGUAGCAAAAAGAUCAGUUUCCAACUUCGGAAUGCAAUCCAUAUCAGCUUCUAGCUUAUUAAUCUGAUCCCUGCAGUCACUGCAUGCAGAAAUUUGAUCUUGCAACUCAGAUGUUAACCUCUCUACUUCAGUAUUCUUCUCAUCCAAAAGUCUUCUCAAAUUCUCUCUUUCUUGAACAAGACCCUUGCCCUUUUUAACUGCCAUAGAUAACUUUUCCCUUAUUAAAGCAACUUUUUCCUCAGAUCUUAUAAGCUCCUUCUCUAAAGACACCCUCUCAUCUUUCAGUGCAUGAAGUUCUUGAGUCACAACACGCAACUUUUCUGAAACCUGCUUCAUUUGUGCGCUAUUAAGCAUUUCUUCCUCCAAUAGAUGCUCAUAUAGCAUCACCUCCUGAGUUCUAACGUAGAGAAGGCUCUGAAAUCUUUCUAAGAUUUUUACUUGACUAUAUGAAGAUUCAAAAGAUGCCUCACCUUCUUCUUUGAUCUUUGCUAUCAUCUUGGCUAUAUCACACUGUGAAAUAUUAACCUUUUCCAGAGAAUUUGUCAUCCCAGAAGCCUCAAGCAGCAUACUAACCAUUUGAUCCCUUUCACAUGCAACUUGAUGCUCUUUUUUGAAUACCCCGUCGUAUUUGCUUCUCAAGUCCUCCAAUUCCUCCUGCAGGUAACUCUUUUCCUGUGUUUCUGCCAAAACUGAUUGAACUAGGCGAUCAACCUCUUUGCUUGAGGCUACUCUUAUUUCAGCUAUCUCUUCUUGCAACUUCAUGGCUUCUUCUUUGGCUGUAGAGAAUGACUCAACGAGCCAUUUGAGCCUAGUUUCCAUAUCAUUUGCUAACAAGUUUUCAGGAAAAUUAAUUGACGAUAGAGCAUCUGAUACAUUUUGGAACUCUAUGGUCACACCGUUGAGUGCAUUCCUCUCAUCUACAAUCCAUCUGAGUUUUUCAACUAAGUCAAAAGACUGAAUAUCAUCAGCUCCAGCAGCAGGUGAUAAAAUUUCCCCACAUUUUUGAAGCACUGAAUCCUUUUGAGCAAGAGACUCCUGUAGGUGAAUGGCCAUACUUUCACUUUUUAUCAACAAGUCCUUACUCUGUUCUGCAAAGCCCAGUGCAUUUGACUUCUCUUGCAGUUCAAUCAAACAUUUCUCAAGUUCACUUGUUUUGUCUGCUAGCGCUUGUUUCAGUGAAUCUCGCUGCUGCACCAGAGCCUUUCCCUUUGUCACAGCCAAGCUAAGCUUCUCUUUAGUGUUAGCAUACCUUGUCUUCUCCUGCUCAAUUUCCACAUUAAGUUUUCCAAUUUCUGCAUUUGCACUCUCAAUGACUGCUUUGUCCUUAUCAAGUUGUUCUACCAGCUUUGCAUUUUCAUUUUGGAAAUGGAUUACUUUUUCUUCCAAAUCCACUUCUUUCAUUUUAAGUUCAUGCAGCUUAACACAUGCACUCAUGAAUACUCCUACUUCAUCCUCCAUAUGAGUAUCUGGUGUCAUGUCACUCAAACACAGUUUAAGUCUGCCAAUUCCUGAAAGAAAUUGAUUAUGUUUUUCAAUUAAAAGUGAGAUGCUUUUCUCAAUAUGAGAAAAUUUCUCUCCAGCAGAGUCAUCCAAGAAUCCUCCUACUUGGGAAACUGACACAGGAAGGGAAGCUAAAAUUCUAUUUGCAAUCUCCUGAAUCAUGUGUUCUCUCUCAACCUGUACUUCAGAUGUCCAACAACCAGCUUCUUGCACUGAAUUUAAGUACAAAACUGUCACCUCACGCGAAAUGGUGAACUCUGUAAUCUUUGAAUUAAGAUCCUCAAUUUCAGAAUCCUUCAUUUGUAAGGAAGCAUGGAGUUCUUUGAUGGAAUUUUCAGUCUGAGAAUAGAGACCCAUGGCACUGUUAAGAAACUCUGAGCAUUCAGUCACGAUCUGAUGCAGUGACGCAUCAGAUGCCAGACUCAUCUCAUCCCCAUCUCCUAACCCUGGUUUAUCAUGAUGAUCAGGGUACGCUACAGACACCUUCUCAAGCAAUGGAUUCUGAUCAUUCAGAGACUUUAGUUGAUAAUGAAGGUAACCAAGUUCUCCCUUUAAAUUUUCUCU
This 7785-nucleotide long non-coding RNA is filed under the name Coffea arabica (coffee). RNAcentral describes it as "long non-coding RNA (CARA_LNC007648)". Lineage: Eukaryota; Viridiplantae; Streptophyta; Magnoliopsida; Gentianales; Rubiaceae. The record is from RNAcentral.